AGAACGAACGCUGGCGGCAUGCCUAACACAUGCAAGUCGAACGAGACCUUCGGGUCUAGUGGCGCACGGGUGCGUAACGCGUGGGAAUCUGCCCUUGGGUUCGGGAUAACAGUUGGAAACGACUGCUAAUACCGGAUGAUGACUUCGG
Molecule: ribosomal RNA, 148 nt
Filed under: uncultured soil bacterium
Lineage: Bacteria
Description: partial 16S ribosomal RNA
Rfam family: Bacterial small subunit ribosomal RNA
Source: RNAcentral